This 273-nucleotide ribosomal RNA is filed under the name uncultured bacterium. Its description in RNAcentral is "partial 16S ribosomal RNA". It matches the Rfam family "Bacterial small subunit ribosomal RNA", at positions 524 to 796 of the family's 1533-position model. The record is from RNAcentral.
UACGGAGGGUGCGAGCGUUAUCCGGAAUCACUGGGCGUAAAGGGCGCGUAGGCGGUCUGUUGAGUCCGUUGUCAAAUGCCGAGGCUCAACCUCGGAACGGCAGUGGGUACUGGCAGGCUGGACGGCUGGAGAGGCGAGUGGAAUUACCAGUGUAGCGGUGGAAUGCGUAGAUACUGGUAGGAACACCCAUGGCGAAGGCAGCUCGCUGGACAGCUCGUGACGCUGAGGCGCGAAAGUGUGGGGAGCGAACCGGAUUAGAUACCCCCGUAGUCC